ACUUUGCAAACAGAUAUUGGUUCAGACAGAUUACUGCCUGUUUGAUUAAAAGGGAAUCGGGUGUAAGUCCCGAACAGUACCCGCUGCUGUAAUCUCCUUGUGUUAUCUACCAAUGAAAGCCACUGGCGUACAUUGACGUGCGACGGGAAGGUGUAGAUGAUGGAGAAAGUCAGAAGACCUACCAAAUCUAAUUAUCGUUG
This 200-nucleotide non-coding RNA is filed under the name Prevotella sp. RNAcentral also lists the same sequence under 1 other name. The record is from RNAcentral. Lineage: Bacteria; Pseudomonadati; Bacteroidota; Bacteroidia; Bacteroidales; Prevotellaceae.